GCCUUCGUGGUGUAACAGUACAACACUCGGCACGUAAUCGAGAGGUCCAGGUUCGAGUCCCGGUGAAGGCA
RNAcentral lists this transfer RNA (71 nucleotides) under Stegodyphus mimosarum. It matches the Rfam family "tRNA". From Rfam's summary of the family: Transfer RNA (tRNA) molecules are approximately 80 nucleotides in length. Lineage: Eukaryota; Metazoa; Arthropoda; Arachnida; Araneae; Eresidae. The record is from Rfam by way of RNAcentral.